RNAcentral lists this ribosomal RNA (827 nucleotides) under uncultured beta proteobacterium. RNAcentral's name for it is "bacterial SSU rRNA". It matches the Rfam family "Bacterial small subunit ribosomal RNA", at positions 129 to 975 of the family's 1533-position model. The record is from RNAcentral. Lineage: Bacteria; Pseudomonadati; Pseudomonadota; Betaproteobacteria.
CCCCGAAGAGGGGGACAACUCCUCGAAAGAGGAGCUAAUACCCCGGAGGUCUGAGUGGUUAGAGAGCUUAGACUGAAGCUGAGGUGCUUCGGGAGGGGCCUGCGGGCUAUCAGCUAGUUGGUGGGGUAAAGGCCUACCAAGGCGAAGACGGCUAGGGGGCGUGAGAGCGUGGUCCCCCACAAUGGAACUGAGACACGGUCCAUACUCCUACGGGAGGCAGCAGUGAGGAAUAUUGAGCAAUGGGCGCAAGCCUGACUCAGCAACGCCGCGUGGAUGAAGAAGGCCUUCGGGUUGUAAAAUCCUUUUCUGUGGGGCGAUGAUGACGGUACCACAGGAAUAAGUUCCGGCUAACUACGUGCCAGCAGCCGCGGUAAUACGUAGGGUGCGAGCGUUAAUCGGAAUUACUGGGCGUAAAGCGUGCGCAGGCGGUUUUGUAAGACAGAUGUGAAAUCCCCGGGCUUAACCUGGGAACUGCGUUUGUGACUGCAAGGCUGGAGUACGGCAGAGGGGGGUGGAAUUCCACGUGUAGCAGUGAAAUGCGUAGAGAUGUGGAGGAACACCGAUGGCGAAGGCAGCCCCCUGGGCCUGUACUGACGCUCAUGCACGAAAGCGUGGGGAGCAAACAGGAUUAGAUACCCUGGUAGUCCACGCCCUAAACGAUGUCGACUAGUUGUUCGGUGCAGCAAUGCGCUGAGUAACGCAGCUAACGCGUGAAGUCGACCGCCUGGGGAGUACGGCCGCAAGGUUAAAACUCAAAGGAAUUGACGGGGACCCGCACAAGCGGUGGAUGAUGUGGAUUAAUUCGAUGCAACGCGAAAAACCUUACC